AACGAACGCUGGCGGCAUGCCUAACACAUGCAAGUCGAACGAGACCUUCGGGUCUAGUGGCGCACGGGUGCGUAACGCGUGGGAACCUGCCCUUAGGUUCGGAAUAACUCCCCGAAAGGGGUGCUAAUACCGGUUAAUGUCUUCGGACCAAAGAUUUAUCGCCUUUGGAUGGGCCGGCGUUGGUUUAGCUAGUUGGUAGGGUAAAAGCCUACCAAGGCGACGAUCCAUAGCUGGUCUGAGAGGAUGAUCAGCCACACUGGGACUGAGACACGGCCCAGACUCCUACGGGAGGCAGCAGUGGGGAAUAUUGGACAAUGGGCGAAAGUCUGAUCCAGCAAUGCCGCGUGAGUGAUGAAGGCCUUAGGGUUGUAAAGCUCUUUUACCCGGGAUGAUAAUGACCGUACCGGGAGAAUAAGCUCCGGCUAACUCCGUG
Molecule: ribosomal RNA, 433 nt
Filed under: uncultured bacterium
Lineage: Bacteria
Description: partial 16S ribosomal RNA
Rfam family: Bacterial small subunit ribosomal RNA
Source: RNAcentral